Bubalus bubalis (water buffalo) is the source of this 477-nucleotide long non-coding RNA. RefSeq lists it as uncharacterized. Lineage: Eukaryota; Metazoa; Chordata; Mammalia; Artiodactyla; Bovidae. The record is from RefSeq and is a predicted model, not a curated record. The transcript has 3 exons.
AUUGUAACAGCAACUAAAUGAAGACAUUAUGUGUGUGCCCCAGCACACAAGCAGUGGGCAAGGAGGAAGCAAAUGACCAUUCUAAGGGGCCUUGCAAAAGACCUGGUUUUUUUUCUUUCUGAGUAAUAAGGCUAAUAUUUGUUAUAAAGGAGGCGCUCAGCAGGCUCCCCUCUCAGGAGCCAUAUGUGGAGUUGAUGUGCCAGCAGCCUUGGAAGGAAAAGAGCCUCGGAGAAGUGCACAAUGGCUCCAUAAUCCCCAUCAACUGGACCCUCUUGAACCGCGGCUUUCUUUCCCAGUCAAAGAAACGCCAGUUUCAAGAGUCAAGCUGUGGCUGUCCUGGGAACCCUGGGGGAGGGUGAGGCUUUUUACCCACAAAGCCACCUCCGCCGGCCCAGCCUCUCCCCGAGCCGUAGACCACAGCGCACACCCUCAGCAGAGCCACAGCCCCGCCCCCUUGCACCGGGUCGCGCAGAGGGU